RNAcentral lists this ribosomal RNA (494 nucleotides) under uncultured bacterium. Its description in RNAcentral is "partial 16S ribosomal RNA". It matches the Rfam family "Bacterial small subunit ribosomal RNA", at positions 28 to 507 of the family's 1533-position model. The record is from RNAcentral.
GACGAACGCUGGCGGCGUGCUUAACACAUGCAAGUCGAACGGUGAAGCGCCUUCUUUUUUGGCGGGUGUGGUUGAGUGGCGAACGGGAGAGUAACACGUGAGUAACCUGCCCCCUUCUUCUGGAUAACCGCAUGAAAGCGUGGCUAAUACGGGAUAAUCUGGGUCUGUCGCAUGAUGGGUCUGGGAAAGAUAUUGCUCUGGUGGGGGAUGGGCGCGCGGCCUAUCAGCUUGUUGGUGGGGUGAUGGCCUACCAAGGCGGUGACGGGUAGCCGGCCUGGGAGGGCGGACGGUCUGACUGGGACUGAGACACGAGCCAGACUCGUGCGGGAGGCAGCAGGGGGGAAUAGUGCACAAUGGGCGUAAGACUGAUGCAGCGACGCCGCGUGAGGGAUGGAGUCCGUCGGGUUGUGAACCUCUUACGCCAGUGAAGCAGGCCUGCCUCGUUUGUGGGUGGGUUGACGGUAGCUUGAUAAGAAGCGCCGGCUAACUACGUG